RNAcentral lists this transfer RNA (93 nucleotides) under Streptomyces cinereoruber. RNAcentral's name for it is "tRNA-Arg". Lineage: Bacteria; Bacillati; Actinomycetota; Actinomycetes; Kitasatosporales; Streptomycetaceae. The record is from RNAcentral.
GGCCGGGCUGGCCCGGCUGCUGGCCCGGCUGCUGCGGGUAGCCGUAGCCGGCCCCCGGCUGCGGGGCCUGCCCGUACGGGCCGGGCGCGGCCG